Molecule: ribosomal RNA, 229 nt
Filed under: uncultured bacterium
Lineage: Bacteria
Description: partial 16S ribosomal RNA
Rfam family: Bacterial small subunit ribosomal RNA
Source: RNAcentral
UCCGUAGGUGGAUAAUUAAGUCAGAGGUGAAAUCCUGCAGCUCAACUGUAGAAUUGCCUUUGAUACUGGUUAUCUUGAGUCAUUAUGAAGUGGUUAGAAUGUGUAGUGUAGCGGUGAAAUGCAUAGAUAUUACACAGAAUACCGAUUGCGAAGGCAGAUCACUAAUAAUGUACUGACACUGAGGGACGAAAGCGUGGGGAGCGAACAGGAUUAGAUACCCUGGUAGUCC